Tympanuchus pallidicinctus (lesser prairie-chicken) is the source of this 5998-nucleotide long non-coding RNA. RefSeq lists it as uncharacterized. The record is from RefSeq and is a predicted model, not a curated record. NCBI's taxonomy places the organism in Eukaryota, Metazoa, Chordata, Aves, Galliformes, Phasianidae. The transcript is spliced from 2 exons.
CCUAAAUUCAUUGCCAGAUCCCCAGUCUGCUGCAAAUGUGCCACGUCAAGACUGGAAAUCACAGCACUUCAGUGUGUUUCAGUUUUGCACACUAGGGAAUAAGAAACGCUAAGGGACACUGUGAAAAAGGAGGACUGCAGAAUAAUGCGGGGAAGACAUUCUGGUAAGGCCUACUUUGGAAGAACACCUGGCCUAUGACCUGGCAAACCUAGGUGACUCCCCCCCCCUUCCUCCAGUCAUCACUGCAAGAAAGAUGGAGCUCUGAUGAUUUACUAAAACCUAUGCAAGAAAUGAGAGAGGUAUACUACCUAGACGUGUACUGCUUAGAGAAGUGUACAAGAGCAUAGUUGAAGUUCGGUCAUUUCCUUUUUUAUUUUUUUUUUUUUAAAUUUAAAAUAAAGUUUAUUUUUGCCCACAAACUAAAAAGGUAAAUUUAAUAUUUUUUUACUCGUAGCAAUCAGUAUAAAUAUCUAAGGAGUAUAUUGUUUUCUUUUAAUGCAGAAGAGGCUUGCUAGAAAUAUGUAUUCCGAAUAGCUCUUGUUAUGAACUAUUGAUCUGAAGAUCAAUUUUAAGAAAAUACUUGCUCUUAAAGUAAUAAAGUAAUAUAAAUGAAUGCAUGAAUAUUAUUUAAAAUUAUUGUAAAAUAUAUUAUGUCGCUGUUGGGAGAACUGUACUUUGAUUUUCUAUGCAACUGAAACUUCUUUGCAAGUAACCUAUGCUCUAUGUACUAAUGAAAACUGGGAGGGUUGCCAUAGGGAAUGUAUGACUACUCCGUGCUUGGCUUCUGCCAUGUAGCAUACAAAAUAUUUGAUUGUUAAGGAAAAAUUACCUCUGAAAGCGCAGGAUGUAAUGGGGAAAAGUAAUCCAAAUCAAUCAAUAAAUAAAACAGAACAAACAGCUUUCCACCCCAUACCUGCCUGGCUAUUGCUUGUAAGUGACCAACACCGAUUGAUUGUUGCCGCUGAUGAAUAGCUUGCUUUGCUGAUAUUUCUUCUAACAUUCUAACAUCUUCUAACAAAAUGAUAAGUUACUUUGUCCUAAAUCCCACUGAUAGAAAUGGAAUUUGUAAACGAAUGCAGAAGUUUGCUUUGGUGAAUUUCCAGCUGUCCUGGUAGGGGAAAAAAACCCUCAGGCUGAAUGAAAUCCCCACGGACAGAAUAAUACAAAAAGUCUGGGCUGCAAUCUGAUACCAGCUGAACUCCAGAGUCAGCUCCCCUAAAGUUAACACUAGUAACAAACUACUGCAACCAGAAAAAAAAAAAUCCCAUCUAUAUGGUGCUCAUUAUGGCCAGGAAGGCUUGCAAUAGCUGUACUAUAAAAAGAAUUAGCAGAAAUAUGCAGCCAUUAGUAUAAUAAGCAGGCAAUUAUGCAGAAUGCGUGUUAUAUUCCAAACAGCCUUGAUGCUGUACAAUUAAAAAAAAAUACGUAUAUUAUUAUUACCUUUCUCACUGCUCCUUCAAUAAUCAAUAGAAGUCCUUUUGGGAACGCGGCCAUGUAGCAUUAGUGUGACUGUGCCUAUACUGCUUGUCUUUCAGCCUGCAAAGCGACAGCUAGCACUGCCAUUUCCCUUACCCUCCCAAAAAAGCUUAUGCAUUUUGACUUAAAGAAUGAUUACUUCUUUUAAUUGCAGAUGUACUUCCAGGUUGCUCACCCUCUCUUCCCUUAUUUCACCAAAGAUUAUCUUCAGUGUUAAAUUAGUGAGUUUUAAUCCAUAUGUAGUCCGAAGGAAUUUUUACCCUCGUUCUACUUUAAAGUGAAAUUACAAGCAAGAUAAAUGUAGUCAUUAAUAGCAAAGCUGAAGAAAUAGGCACAAAUUAAAGGAAUGGCAUGAGAGUCAGGCUUGCUUUAAUAUUUCUCAAUCUUUAAGCUUGAUUGCUGUUUUAGGCAUAAAAAAAUCUGAGAAGUUUUAUGACUUUGUCACAGCGGUAGAAAAAUGGCUUUCAAAUUGCAUUAAGAAACUUGCUCUGUUACACUUUCAGGGGAAACGCUCACAAGUAUGUUUCCUAUCUAUUGCAUAUUUGCAUAUCCACUUUUUGUUUGUUUGAGAAUUCUGAUCUAGAAAUUAAGAAAGUAGCGUUAACAGGCCGUGUGCGAAACCCCGUUAGAGACAGCUGUUAGAGAUAGCUUACAUGAUUGUGGGCUAAAUAAGCAAAGAGCACCAAUACAUACAGAACGAGUAUUUCUCUUAUCUCUAGUCUGCCAUUUGCAUUAAUCUUUAUUUUAAAUGGCCUUUCUGGAUUUAGGAAGCGAUUCCCCUCCCAUACACCCAUGACUGCUCAAAGUUACAUUUUUAGCCUGCAGGGCUGAGAGCUAGGAGGCCCCUUGGCUUGGGGCUUGGGAAGGGGGGGCUGUGCACAAAGCAGCCGAUACGGGAAGAAAGCCUGUAUUGUUAGCGAUGAAUAAGGAAGUAUAUCUACUUCGACUCAGCAAUCAAAACAUUUCCAAAGUGAAUUAAGUGAUUCUCUGCUUCUUCAAACGGCUCUGUUUUAGCUAGGAAAAGUUCUAGCUGAUUAUAAUCAGAAAAGACUUCCAAAGUUAUAAAAUAGAGGUUUUAAAUAGGCAUGACAAUAAACACAAGGCAGCCGUAUACAAUUUUUUCAUGAGCAGAAAAAAUCAUUACUAUUUGCAAAGACUAUAUGUAUAUACAAGCAUAUAUAUAUAUGAGAGCAAGUUUCAAUACGUAAUUAAUCACAGAGAUCUGUGUGCAACCAGAGAGGUACCAAAGCUUAAAUCUGUAGUAGGAGUUAAAGGAUACAGCUCACGUUAUCAUACAAUGCUCAAAACUAAGAAAAGCAGAUGUGGACAGUUGAAGAGAUCAGGGAUUCAAUAUAAUGAACUUUUGUCUUUAUCUUUUAGUACAACCAAAAAAAAUUAAAUAGGGAAGAGGAAAAAGUAUUUAAAACUUUUUCUAUAUGUAUAUUUUUUUUAAGAAGAAAAAAAAAAAAGGAGAGUGGGAAGCCACUGAACCCUACAAAAUUACAGAGCAAGCGAGCAUCCAGGGGCAAAAAACCACUUUAACAAAUGGCAUUUGACAUUUCUCAGCCUUGUCUUUAAGUCGCUCGUUGCCUUCUGCACUACAGUCAGCAGCACUCUGUAAUGCGGCUGCAUGUCAGGAAGGAUGCAGCUCUGCUCCCCACGCUCCUUGCCCCCCUCCCUGCACCAUCACUGCAUGUCCACAGGCGCUGCUCAGACCACCCAGGUGCCAUCGCUGGGUGCAAAACAGGACGGCCCAAAGAGCCAAAUACUGGCAAACAGUUCCGAACUCAUCAAUAGAGAGUUAAGUGAUGAUUACCUUGACAUCAAAAGAUGCUGAGCAGGCUGGAAGAUGGAAAAAAAUGUAAAUCUUAGGCUGGGUAGGGUUGGGUUUUUUUUCCUCCUUCUUUGUCAUUAUUAUUUAUUUAGUUCUUAUCAAGGACGUAAGUCAACAACUACUUGCAGAAGGCUUUCCUUCCCAAACUGCACUUCAUUUUAACAAAAUCUAAUUAAAAUAAUGUUAAGGAUCAGGUUAAACCUAGAAAAGGACAGGAAAACUGUAGAGUUCAGAAUGAAACUUUCCUGAAUAAUGCUAUUGUGCUUCUGUGCUGCAUUUUAUGCUGCAUUGCAAAACGGUAUCUAAAAAUAACAGCCUUCCUCGAUCACAGCUGGAGAGAACAUAAUUCUCAAUUUGAUUUCCAAACUACCUAUAUUUAAAGCCAAAUCCUUCCUAUAUGUUCCUGUAAAAAUAACACUGGAAAUCAUAGCAUUUUGUUACGAAUACUGUAAAAUACUCUUAAGCCCUUUCCUGACCUAAUGAAUGAACCAGACAGAGCACACAGACGUUUAGCCCUUUUGUCAAGCCAACUAGAAUCCAACUUUUAAGAAUAUCUGCUUUUCAAUGAGAAUCAAGUGGAGGCAGAGCAGUACCACGAGCAAUCCCAAUUCUCUGAAGGCAAAAUGAAUGUGCCCCAGUUACAACAAGUACAGCCGUUUGCUGAUUGCUUGAUGAAUUCUCCUUAUGCACAGUUAUUAGAAAGACCGCACAGCCUUUCAUUUAUAACUCCUACUCACGAAUUCCCUGAUAGCUGCUAAUAGGAAACCUAUUAAUUACAAUGCAUGUUUUUGUUUUUCCAGUCUUUUUUAAAAACUAUUGUUUGCCAAUGAUUUUACCGUACAACUCUUCCAAAGAUCCACAGCACAGAAACUGAGACCUAAUUUUCUCCCAAACCACUGAUUUAUUUGACAACUCAACUCAGACGUUAUAUAUAAAACAAGCAGUUUGCUAUACGUGCUUUAAAAGUACUUUUCACUUGUCACUUUUUGCAUUAGAAUUACCAGGUGGGCAGGGAGGUGUGCUGUGCCAUAUUAGCGCCCAGACUUAUUUCUCGAGUUCUAAGUAAAAUUUUAAGCAAGUAUAUUAUAAAACUAAAGGGAGAACAUUUAAUGACUUGGAAUUAAUCUAUUGUGCCUAAAUUAGCUAGUCAUGCUUUAUGUUUGUUUAUGUUUUUAAGAUACAUUACUUCAUUUUGCUAGUUUUGAGGAAAAUAGAUAUAUUUUAUGUAAUCUAGGUCCUUAAUUUGUAUCAUUCUUGCAUAUUAGCUAAAGUGUCUUUAAUUUUAAAUCAAAAUAAUUAUUACUGCUAAAUCGACACACUAAUUACAUAUUAAUUUAUUAUUGGACUAUCCACACCAUCAGCCCUUUGGUAAAUGCACCCCUUUUGCAAUCAGCUCUCAGACCUGAGCUUCAGUGCUCCUCUUCUAAGUGGGAUAUACUUAGCACUGGUUUGAAGGCUUGCUGCUUACCUAUGGAGGCACUAGUGAGCAACAGGGAUAUAAGAACACCGUUACAAAACAGAAUUAUUCCAUCUGUAUAAAAAAGUGAUACAACUAUUUACCUCCUACUUCUUUUAUAUGUCUAUGUGUUUAUACUUUCUGAAACAAUGCCUCAACACAUAAAUGUCAUUGAAAAAUUGGAUUACAUUUACUGUGUGUAUUUUCUAUAUAGUGAAGCAUCACAUCUUGUAAUGUAAAUGAUACUACUUGCUUUUUUUUUUUUUAUAAUAUUGAUCUGAAAAACUGACUGAAGCUCAACAAAUUUGUUUUCUAACAAAUUAUGGAUUUUGAGAGAGAGCUAAAUUGAAAUAAUAUGCAAAGCAAAAUACUAAAGUGAUAUGAUCGUGGUAAUGGGACAGCUCGCACAUAUUGCCAUAAUGGAUAUAAAAUGCAACUGGUUUUCUUUCCAGUACAUCACCCUUAACUGGGUAAAUGUGCAAGUUGUUGUCUCCAUUUGUACAGGAAGAUUUUUAUUUAUUUUUAACAUGCAAGAUUAUUGUACUUAUCUGCUCCUAGAAAAUAUGUACUGUGUAAACAUAUCCUUUAUCUUGAACUUCAGUAUUUCUGUGCUUCCAAGAAGAGUCAAACCAUCUGGUUAUGUUACCACGUGUGAGUGCAAUAUGCAGGCAGACUCCUGCAUGAGUUGCAUAUAAAAUAAAUUACGGUAAUUACGGUUUCAAUUAUUUUUUUUUUAAAGACUGUUCCACGUGUUGAACUCGUAUCUGAUCCAUGUCAGCACAAUGCCAACUGAUGUACUGAAAUGCUUAUUUUACUGAAUAAAAUCAAAUUACGUUCUUGUCCUACAGCUCGCAAUGCUUUAAAGUUUAAUUCUGUUUUGUGUGCUCCCCCCAACAAAGUCCCCCAAAGCGGAUGGGUACAAAGCGAUCCCCACCAGCGGUGAUGGCUCCAAGGGACUGGCUGGACGGAGUUGUCAUGUGUCUGCCUGUCUACACUUGCUGUGCAGAACAUCCUCUCACCUGUACAGCAGGCACAGACAGGCAGUCACAUGACAACCCAGCCUGAGUGACAGCCGGCUCUGACACCCCAGAGCAUCUUCAGCAAGAGCUGCAGCCACGAGUCGCUCUGGAUCUCAGAUGGUCGGUCAGUAACCAAGCCGCGUCCUGCAACCCACCUAGAGUCAAACCAACAGUGCCUAUAAAAUACAAUAAAACCCACUGCUGAAAUUUUUA